GAAUCGUUGGAACUCGUUUUUGAUAAAGUGGUGCAAACCAAUUUUCGAUGGGUUUUUCGACGGAGACGUCUGUCGGAAGGACCGAAAUUUGGGCACGAUGUAAUCGUCACCGUGAACACUAUGAGUUAGUGUAUUUGCUCUGUCAAAAUCAGAGUUGUUUUGAAUGAAAAAUGAAUGUCCAAAGUGAAUGACAUGAAAAGUUUAUAAAGCUAUUAUUUGGUUAAAAUAUAAAGUUUAACAAAUAUUUCACUUUGGAUAUUUGAGUUUAAGUUUAGAUUUAAAUAUAUUAAUGGGAUGUUAUAUCAAUUAAUUUAUUUUGAAAUCUUAUUCAAAAAAAUAUAAACUCAAUGAAAGCAUAUUGAUGGCUUUGUGAUUUGGUCAAACCACAUUAUGACUAUAAAACUAAUGUACAAGAAUCUUGAGUUAUGGAAAUCAAAUACUCAUUAAGAUUAGAGACGUUAAUGGCUCCAUAAUAAGUGCAUAACGUGUUGUUUCAUUUCUUUUAUAAAAGGAAGAUAAACACUUGUUAUAGAUUCAUUCUUUUUGACAUUAAGCAAAAGGCUUACAAUACUCUCGUCAGACUAUACACAAAACUAGUUUCGCCAGACUUCUGAUAGAGUGACGCAAAUCAGAAGAUUUUUUGCAGUUGUAUCCUGAGAUUCAUUACGUUAUCGAACCGUUGCAAUACGAGACGUAUUUUGAGUUAAAAAAAGAGAUAAUAUCUCGACUCAACAGUUGUAUCAUCCUUUUUGUAAUCUUUGAUAUAAUUUUAUCAAUUUUAUUCUUUACAAUAUUUAGUUCUCCGUAAUUUAUAUAAUAAGGUUUUAUCAUGAAUCACGUUUCUGGAGGUCGCAGACCACAUCCUGACCAUGUGAAAUUUCUUGCUUCUUGAAACCUCCAUGUCAUGGUCAAUGUUUCAAGUUUCAUGUUUCCAUAAAAAUAUUGUAUAGUGAUUCAUGAAAAGCUUUUUUCACAGGUUUAACAAGAUAAUCAUUAUGUUUGCUGAAGAAAAGUUUAGCAGAAAUGGUAUUGAGUUAAACUUGGCUCCAUGGUGACCAAAGUGAAUGAGAAAGAUAUAUCUGCUAAAACCAAAGGAGGAGAGGUUUCCUCAAUCCCUUAUGGAAUGAUUGUCUGGUCAACUAGUAUUGGAACUCGUCCUGUCAUAAAAGAUUUUAUGAAACAUAUUAAUCAGGUAAACUCUCACACUACAGCAUCCUAGCAAACACAUUUCAUUAUCUUAUCUUGCUCUAAGAAACUGUCUUUGCAAAUUGCAGGGUAAUAGAUGCGCUCUGGCAACUGAUGAAUGGCUUCAGGUAGAAGGAUGUGAUAAUAUAUAUAUGCUCUAGGAGGAUCUUCUAAAAGAAGCUGAAAGUGAUGAUGGAUCAAAGAAGAAUCCAGAAGGUCCCUUUAGGAUGAGAGGAGAAGGUCGUAUCCGUAUCUAAGAUUUUUGGUUGUGCUGUUUUCCGUCCCCGCUCCAGUCCCUGUUUCCAGCCCCGUACCCAUGCCAGGGCUGCUUAGGAGGAGAACAAACGCGGCUGAGCUUCAAGAAAUUGGGUUUCCAUUGGACACGGCAGCCAGAGGCUUGAACAGUUUCACAAAUUAUAUUUUUUAGACAGUUUCAUUACAAAAAAAAUUACUACUAUCUAUUUUACGCAUCUCUCUCUUUUAUGUGCCCACCAAGAACUAAACAAACUUCCUCAUGAGAAAAAAGUUUUGAUCUUUUUCCCAAAAAAACAAAGUUUUGAUCUUUGUUGUCGUUUACCUAUUCGUUUUAUUUGUUUGUAAUAAAAUAAUGGCCAAAAAAGACGACACGGACAUUGCUUCGUUUAUUUGGGCAGUCAUAUUUGAAUUUAACGGUGAUAUGACUCCAGUUUUUGUCUUAACUCUUACGAUAGUUACGGCAUACCUUACGAGCACAGCCGGGCUUGACCCAACACAAUUGAAACAUUUUAUUGGAGCCCCCAUUAUGUGGUGCCCG
Brassica napus (rape) is the source of this 1978-nucleotide RNA transcript. It is a transcript of the gene named external alternative NAD(P)H-ubiquinone oxidoreductase B2, mitochondrial-like, with no coding region annotated. NCBI's taxonomy places the organism in Eukaryota, Viridiplantae, Streptophyta, Magnoliopsida, Brassicales, Brassicaceae. The transcript is spliced from 2 exons. The record is from RefSeq and is a predicted model, not a curated record.